This 743-nucleotide ribosomal RNA is filed under the name Coleophoma caliginosa. Its description in RNAcentral is "eukaryotic LSU rRNA". It matches the Rfam family "Eukaryotic large subunit ribosomal RNA", at positions 135 to 895 of the family's 3401-position model. The record is from RNAcentral. Lineage: Eukaryota; Fungi; Ascomycota; Leotiomycetes; Helotiales; Dermateaceae.
GCUCCGAGUUGUAAUUUGUAGAAGAUGCUUCGGGUGCGGCUCCGGUCUAAGUUCCUUGGAACAGGACGUCAUAGAGGGUGAGAAUCCCGUAUGUGAUCGGGGGCCUGCGCCCGUGUGAAGCUCUUUCGACGAGUCGAGUUGUUUGGGAAUGCAGCUCAAAAUGGGUGGUAAAUUUCAUCUAAAGCUAAAUAUUGGCCAGAGACCGAUAGCGCACAAGUAGAGUGAUCGAAAGAUGAAAAGCACUUUGGAAAGAGAGUUAAACAGUACGUGAAAUUGUUGAAAGGGAAGCGCUUGCAACCAGACUUGCGCGGGGCCGAUCAUCCGGGGUUCUCCCCGGUGCACUCGGCCCCGCUCAGGCCAGCAUCGGUUUCGGUGGCGGGACAAAGGCUGCGGGAAUGUGGCUCCCCUCGGGGAGUGUUAUAGCCCGCGGUGCAAUGCCGCCUACCGGGACCGAGGACCGCGCUUCGGCUAGGAUGCUGGCGUAAUGGUUGUAAGCGACCCGUCUUGAAACACGGACCAAGGAGUCUAACAUCUAUGCGAGUGUUUGGGUGUCAAACCCAUACGCGUAAUGAAAGUGAACGGAGGUGAGAACCCUUAAGGGUGCAUCAUCGACCGAUCCUGAUGUCUUCGGAUGGAUUUGAGUAAGAGCAUAGCUGUUGGGACCCGAAAGAUGGUGAACUAUGCCUGAAUAGGGUGAAGCCAGAGGAAACUCUGGUGGAGGCUCGCAGCGGUUCUGACGUGCA